This 152-nucleotide unclassified non-coding RNA is filed under the name uncultured Ascomycota. Its description in RNAcentral is "sequence contains ITS2". The record is from RNAcentral. RNAcentral also lists the same sequence under 1 other name. Lineage: Eukaryota; Fungi; Ascomycota.
GUACCUUAAGCUCUGCUUAGUGUUGGGUGAUUGUCUGCGUCUAGCGUAGACUCGCCUUGAAUCCAUUGGCCGCCGAUAGUGUAGUAUGCGAGCGCAGCACAUUUGCGCACUGUACUCGACUACUCGGCCACCAUCAAGUAUAAUACAUCAAC